CAUGUGAUAAUAUUCAUCAAAAUGCCAUGACUAAAAGUCAUAUAUAACAUGUUUUACCUGAAACAACUACAUAAUAACUAUGAUCCAAAGGAAUUUAUAGGAAUGUAAUUUCUGGUUAGUUUUAGUUGCAUACGUACAAAUAACUUAUAGUAUCUCUAAGUAAAUUAAAACUUGUGUUCCUAGAGUAUCAGAAGUUAAUUUCAUCCUUACAACAGGGCACCCACAAUACACAAAAACAUAAAAUCUAAGGUAACCCAUUUACCAGUCUUCCAAAAUAUAAGUAUCCAACCUAUCAUUCCAAUCACACACCAACACUAUAUUCCUAUGCGACUAUCAGGAACUUGAUCCUCUACCAUUUCUUGGGGGAGAAGUGUUGCUUGUUAUUUGUAUGAUCAUAAGAUAUACCAGUACACAAUAUACAAAAAACAAAGAGAGAGUAAGUUAUCAUUUUAAGGCACAAUAUGUGGAAUUAUAUGGAAAUUAAGUAUCAUAACAUAAUAUAAAUAAUAUAUCAUA
This 516-nucleotide long non-coding RNA is filed under the name Lupinus angustifolius (narrow-leaved blue lupine). Its description in RNAcentral is "long non-coding RNA (LANG_LNC000866)". The record is from RNAcentral. Lineage: Eukaryota; Viridiplantae; Streptophyta; Magnoliopsida; Fabales; Fabaceae.